Long non-coding RNA from Rosa chinensis, 800 nucleotides. RefSeq lists it as uncharacterized. NCBI's taxonomy places the organism in Eukaryota, Viridiplantae, Streptophyta, Magnoliopsida, Rosales, Rosaceae. The transcript has 3 exons. The record is from RefSeq and is a predicted model, not a curated record.
UAUAUUCAUUCAUUUUCCAAAAAUUAAAAAAAACUCAGCUCUUACUAGCUUCCUAGCAGAGAGAACAAGAGAAAAAGGAUGAGCUGUGGAGAAAGCAAGGUUGUGUGUGUGACAGGAGCAUCUGGUUUCAUAGCGUCAUGGCUGGUGAAGAUUUUAUUGCAAAGAGGUUUUACUGUCAAAGCCACUGUUCAAGACCCAAAUGAUCAAAAGAAAAUAGAUCACCUACUCUCACUUGAUGGAGCAAAGGAAAGGCUUCAUUUGUUCAAAGCAAACUUGUUAGAAGAAGGUUCUUUUGACCCUGUCGUUGAUGAGUGUGAAGGUGUUUUUCAUACAGCAUCUCUUGUCAUACUCUCAUCUACUAAUUUGCAGGUUCAUCUCUUUAUUUACAUACAAAACGUUUAUAAAUUUUUCUUUGUAGCAUCGUAAGCCAACAGUUUAUGAAAUUCAGUUCUAUCUGAUACUCUGCCAAGAGUUAUUGAUGUAGUUUGAUUUUACCUGCAAAAUCUAUAUCAAUAUGCGCUAUAAUGUUGCUAGCUCUUAAUCGUUGUCAGGCAGAAUUAAUUGACCCUGCUUUGAAGGGAACGCUUAAUGUCCUUGGAUCGUGUGUGAAGGUUCAGUCUAUCAAAAGGGUGGUUAUAACAUCCUCUAUAGCAGCAGUUGCAUUUAAUGGAAAACCUCUUACUGCUGAUGUAAUAAUCGAUGAAUCUUGGUUUUCAGAUCUUGCUUUUUGUGAAAAAGUGAAGCUUUGGUAUACCCUUUCAAAGACAUUAGCUGAGGAAGCUGCUUGGAAGUUUGCAAAA